This 87-nucleotide transfer RNA is filed under the name Arsenophonus endosymbiont of Bemisia tabaci Q2. RNAcentral's name for it is "tRNA-Leu". It matches the Rfam family "tRNA". From Rfam's summary of the family: Transfer RNA (tRNA) molecules are approximately 80 nucleotides in length. Their secondary structure includes four short double-helical elements and three loops (D, anti-codon, and T loops). The record is from RNAcentral. Lineage: Bacteria; Pseudomonadati; Pseudomonadota; Gammaproteobacteria; Enterobacterales; Morganellaceae.
GCCCAGGUGGUGAAAUCGGUAGACACAAGGGAUUUAAAAUUCCUCGGACUUAAGGCUGUGCGGGUUCAAGUCCCGCCCUGGGCACCA